RNAcentral lists this ribosomal RNA (468 nucleotides) under uncultured bacterium. Its description in RNAcentral is "partial 16S ribosomal RNA". It matches the Rfam family "Bacterial small subunit ribosomal RNA", at positions 28 to 507 of the family's 1533-position model. The record is from RNAcentral.
GACGAACGCUGGCGGCGUGCUUAACACAUGCAAGUCGAACGGAAAGGCCCUGCUUUUGUGGGGUGCUCGAGUGGCGAACGGGUGAGUAACACGUGAGUAACCUGCCCUUGACUUUGGGAUAACUUCAGGAAACUGGGGCUAAUACCGGAUAGGAGCUCCUGCUGCAUGGUGGGGGUUGGAAAGUUUCGGCGGUUGGGGAUGGACUCGCGGCUUAUCAGCUUGUUGGUGGGGUAGUGGCUUACCAAGGCUUUGACGGGUAGCCGGCCUGAGAGGGUGACCGGCCACAUUGGGACUGGGGUACCGCCCAGACUCCUACGGGGAGGAAGAGUGGGGAAUAUUGCACAAUGGGCGGAAGCCUGAUGCAGCAACGCCGCGUGCGGGAUGACGGCCUUCGGGUUGUAAACCGCUUUCGCCUGUGACGAAGCGUGAGUGACGGUAAUGGGUAAAGAAGCACCGGCUAACUACGUG